GACGAACGCUGGCGGCGUGCUUAACACAUGCCAGUCGAACGGAAAGGCCUGCUUUCCCUUGUGGAUUGCGGGUACUCGAGUGGCGAACGGGUGAGUAACACGUGAGUGAUCUGCCCCCAACUUGGGUAUAAGCCUGGGAAACUGGGUCUAAUUCCCGAUAGGACUGCAGGGUGGUGCCUGUGGUGGAAAACGAUUUUCUAGUGGUUGGGGAUGAGCUCGCGGCCUAUCAGCUUGUUGGUGGGGUAAUGGCCUACCAAGGCGGCGACGGGUAGCCGGCCUGAGAGGGUGGACGGCCACAUUGGGACUGAGAUACGGCCCAGACUCCUACGGGAGGCAGCAGUGGGGAAUAGUGCACAAUGGGCGGAAGCCUGAUGCAGCGACGCCGCGUGGGGGAUGACGGCCUUCGGGUUGUAAACUCCUUUCGACCGCGAGGAAGCCACCUGGUUGGAAGGGUGGUGACGGUAGUGGUAGAAGAAGCACCGGCUAACUACGUG
RNAcentral lists this ribosomal RNA (494 nucleotides) under uncultured bacterium. RNAcentral describes it as "partial 16S ribosomal RNA". It matches the Rfam family "Bacterial small subunit ribosomal RNA", at positions 28 to 507 of the family's 1533-position model. The record is from RNAcentral.